GAUGAACGCUGGCGGCGUGCUUAACACAUGCAAGUCGAACGGUGAAGCCAAGCUUGCUUGGUGGAUCAGUGGCGAACGGGUGAGUAACACGUGAGCAACCUGCCCUGGACUCUGGGAUAAGCGCUGGAAACGGCGUCUAAUACUGGAUAUGAGCCUUCAUCGCAUGGUGGGGGUUGGAAAGAUUUUUUGGUCUGGGAUGGGCUCGCGGCCUAUCAGCUUGUUGGUGAGGUAAUGGCUCACCAAGGCGUCGACGGGUAGCCGGCCUGAGAGGGUGACCGGCCACACUGGGACUGAGACACGGCCCAGACUCCUACGGGAGGCAGCAGUGGGGAAUAUUGCACAAUGGGCGAAAGCCUGAUGCAGCAACGCCGCGUGAGGGAUGACGGCCUUCGGGUUGUAAACCUCUUUUAGCAGGGAAGAAGCGAAAGUGACGGUACCUGCAGAAAAAGCGCCGGCUAACUACGUGCCAGCAGCCGCCGUAA
Molecule: ribosomal RNA, 482 nt
Filed under: uncultured bacterium
Lineage: Bacteria
Description: partial 16S ribosomal RNA
Rfam family: Bacterial small subunit ribosomal RNA
Source: RNAcentral